GGAAGUGUCGCCUAGUGGUCUAUGGCGGCGGUCUUGAAAACCGCUUGAUUGAAAGGUCUCGUGGGUUCGAAUCCCACCACUUCCGCCA
This 88-nucleotide transfer RNA is filed under the name candidate division SR1 bacterium. Its description in RNAcentral is "tRNA-Ser". It matches the Rfam family "tRNA". From Rfam's summary of the family: Transfer RNA (tRNA) molecules are approximately 80 nucleotides in length. Their secondary structure includes four short double-helical elements and three loops (D, anti-codon, and T loops). The record is from RNAcentral. Lineage: Bacteria; Candidatus Absconditibacteriota.